GGACUGCUGUCAGUGAAUUGGUGCUCUGAAAGAAGGUGCAACAUAACACCUACCCCACUGUCAAGAAUGAGAGAGGAUGUUGAUUCUCUCAGUGGAGGAAACACCACACCAUCCCAGGUCAGAACUGACCAUUCCGGCAU
Molecule: long non-coding RNA, 140 nt
Organism: Cyprinus carpio (common carp)
Lineage: Eukaryota; Metazoa; Chordata; Actinopteri; Cypriniformes; Cyprinidae
Exons: 3
Source: RefSeq, a predicted model, not a curated record